Molecule: transfer RNA, 89 nt
Filed under: Mollicutes bacterium
Lineage: Bacteria; Bacillati; Mycoplasmatota; Mollicutes
Description: tRNA-Leu
Rfam family: tRNA
About the family: Transfer RNA (tRNA) molecules are approximately 80 nucleotides in length.
Source: RNAcentral
GCUUGUGUGGCGGAACAGGUAGACGCACAGGACUUAAAAUCCUGCGAGAUUCAACCCUCGUGCCGGUUCAAUUCCGGCCACAAGCACCA